Small nuclear RNA from Nycticebus coucang (slow loris), 106 nucleotides. Lineage: Eukaryota; Metazoa; Chordata; Mammalia; Primates; Lorisidae. The record is from RefSeq and is a predicted model, not a curated record.
GUGCUCACUUUGGCAGCACAUAUACUAAAAUUUGAAUGAUACAGAAAGAUGAGCACGGUCCCUGUGCAAGGAUGAUGCACAAAUUUGUGAUAGGAAAUUUUUUCUU